UUUUCCCGGCGGCGGCGUCAGGGGUGGACUCAGGGGCGGAAGGAGCAGAAGCAGCAGCGGCGGCGGGCGAGCUUUAUGCCUGUUUUAUUUCACUGCAAUCCAGUUUAAUGGAGCUGGAGCGACUGCACCGGGCCCGGCCCACGCCCCAGGAUGGACCUGAGACCCACAGCCACCCCCACACUGUUCCUUGGCGAUCCUGUGACACCCCAUAGAUAUGCCACAGACACACACCCCCCCAGCCCCGUAGUGCCCUAUAGGCCCACAACACGUGUCCCCCAGCUUUUAUUGACUCCUGGCGUCAUGAUGUCACCAGGACCGCGAUGACAUCGUCAGCAUCAUCAAUGACACAGUGCCCCAUAGGGCCCCCACUACCCCCCGCAACCCCUUUAUGCCUGUUUUAUUUCACUGCAGUCCAGUUUAAUGGAGCUGGAGCGACUGCACGGGGCCUGGCCCACGCCCCAGGAUGGACCUGAGCCCCCCGCGAAGCUUUAUGCUUGUUUUAUUUCACUGCAAUCCAGUUUAAUGGAGCUGGAGCGACUGCACCGGGCCCGGCCCACGCCCCAGGAUGGACCUGAGCCCCCUGAGAAGGGGAGACCCACAGCCACCCUCAGACUGCCCCAUGGCUACCGAGUGACACCCUUAGAUAACCCACAGCGCCCCAUAGACACCCCCCUUCUGCUCAUCCCCAUAGUGCCUUGUAGACCCACAACAUGUGUUCCCCAGCUUUUAUUGACUCCUGGCAUCCUGAUGUCACCACGACCUUGAUGACAUCAUCAGCAUCAUCAAUUACCCAGUGCCCUUUAGGGCCCCCACUACCCAUCUGCAACCCAUAAAUUGUAAUUUACUUC
RNAcentral lists this long non-coding RNA (848 nucleotides) under Strigops habroptila (Kakapo). RNAcentral's name for it is "lncRNA (ENSSHBG00005018409.1)". Lineage: Eukaryota; Metazoa; Chordata; Aves; Psittaciformes; Psittacidae. The record is from RNAcentral.